Molecule: ribosomal RNA, 496 nt
Filed under: uncultured bacterium
Lineage: Bacteria
Description: partial 16S ribosomal RNA
Rfam family: Bacterial small subunit ribosomal RNA
Source: RNAcentral
AUGAACGCUGGCGGCGUGCCUAAUACCUGCCAGUCGCGCGAACAGACGAGGAGCUUGCUCCUCUGACGUUAGCGGCGGACGGGUGAGUAACACGUGGAUAACCUACCUAUAAGACUGGGAUAACUUCGGGAAACCGGAGCUAAUACCGGAUACUAUAUUGAACCGCAUGGUUCAAUAGUGAAAGCCGGUUUUGCUGUCACUUAUAGAUGGAUCCGCGCCGCAUUAGCUAGUUGGUAAGGUAACGGCGUACCAAGGCAACGAUGCGUAGCCGACCUGAGAGGGUGAUCGGCCACACUGGAACUGAGACACGGUCCAGACUCCUACGGGAGGCAGCAGUAGGGAAUCUUCCGCAAUGGGCGAAAGCCUGACGGAGCAACGCCGCGUGAGUGAUGAAGGUCUUCGGAUCGUAAAACUCUGUUAUUAGGGAAGAACAAAUGUGUAAGUAACUAUGCACGUCUUGACGGUACCUAAUCAGAAAGCCACGGCUAACUACGUG